GACGAACGCUGGCGGCGUGCCUAACACAUGCAAGUCGAACGGAAGUAAGUGCUUCGGUAUUUACUUUAGUGGCGAACGGGUGAGUAACGCGUGAGGAACCUGCCUUUCAGUGGGGGACAACAGUUGGAAAUGACUGCUAAUACCGCAUAAGACCACGGAGCCGCAUGGCUCUGUGGGAAAAACUCCGGUGGUAUGAGAUGGACCCGCGUCUGAUUAGGUAGUUGGUGGGGUAACGGCCCACCAAGCCGACGAUCAGUAGCCGACCUGAGAGGGUGACCGGCCACAUUGGGACUGAGACACGGCCCAA
Molecule: ribosomal RNA, 307 nt
Filed under: uncultured bacterium
Lineage: Bacteria
Description: bacterial SSU rRNA
Rfam family: Bacterial small subunit ribosomal RNA
Source: RNAcentral